AUAUUCACUUACAAUGAAUAUACACAUAGAAACACAGGUCUGCAGGGAGCCCAUGUCCUAAUUUUACCCUGCAGACCUGUGUUUCUAUGUGUAUAUUCAUUGUAAGUGAAUAUAUGUAUGU
Pelobates cultripes (western spadefoot toad) is the source of this 121-nucleotide non-coding RNA. NCBI's taxonomy places the organism in Eukaryota, Metazoa, Chordata, Amphibia, Anura, Pelobatidae. The record is from the annotation of a GenBank genome assembly.